This 89-nucleotide transfer RNA is filed under the name Urbifossiella limnaea. RNAcentral's name for it is "Planctomycetes bacterium ETA_A1 tRNA-Gly". Lineage: Bacteria; Pseudomonadati; Planctomycetota; Planctomycetia; Gemmatales; Gemmataceae. The record is from RNAcentral.
GGCGGCCCGGCCCGCGGAGCCGGCGAGCUCCCGGCUGGCCGACCCGGUCGUCCCCCGCGGCCUGCGGUCGUUCGAGCCGGAGGACGCCG